RNAcentral lists this ribosomal RNA (484 nucleotides) under uncultured bacterium. RNAcentral describes it as "partial 16S ribosomal RNA". It matches the Rfam family "Bacterial small subunit ribosomal RNA", at positions 30 to 507 of the family's 1533-position model. The record is from RNAcentral.
AGUGAACGCUGGCGGUAGGCCUAACACAUGCAAGUCGAGCGGAUGAACGGAACGUGCUCGUUGAUUCGGGUGCCGACGGGUGAGUAGGGCCGAGGAAUCUGGGUGGUAGCGGUGGAGAACGGGCGGAAACGGGCGCUAAUACCGUAUACGCGCUGAGGGAGAAAGGGGGGGAGCUGGGGACCUUACGCUAUCAGAUGAGCCUAGGUCGGAUUAGCUAGUUGGUGGGGUAAAGGCCUACCAAGGCGACGAUCCGUAACUGGUCUGAGAGGAUGAUCAGCCACACUGGAACUGAGACACGGUCCAGACUCCUACGGGAGGCAGCAGUGGGGAAUAUUGGACAAUGGGCGCAAGCCUGAUCCAGCCAUGCCGCGUGUGUGAAGAAGGUCUUCGGAUUGUAAAGCCCUUUUAGUUGGGAGGAAGGGCAGUAAGUUAAUACCUUGCUGUUUUGACGUUACCAACAGAAUAAGCACCGGCUAACUUCGUG